UUAUUUCCCUUGGCUAAAAACAGCCCUAAUAAAGUGUAAUUCUUGUGAACAAAUCAAAACGGAGUCCGCAAAAACCCUCUGCAGAGAUUUAAACGCUGACAAAGAAGAUGAAAUUUAGGGCUUCUCAGAGAAUUCCCUGUUUCACUUACAAUGGACGCUUCAAUCAUCUACAGGCGCAGCGUUUCCAUUUCACUACCUUUCUUCGUAAGGUACAACCCACCGAAGCUCGAGCUUCGCUUAAUCGUGGCGGCAGUAGUAGUAACAGCAAUUCUCAGGGUAACCCUCUCUUGCUGCCUGGUGCAACAGUCGCAACUAUAGUUAUGCUUGGUCUUCUCCAUGCUCGACGCCUCUAUGAUGAUCAAAAGAUUGAAGACGCCAGAGAGAAAGGAAUUUUAGAAUUCCAGCCUGAUGUAAAGGCUACUUUCAUGAGAUUACUUCCACUACGCUCCAUUUCUAGAUUCUGGAGUACUUUGACCAGUGUGGAGCUUCCGAUGUGGCUGCGCCCAUCUGUGUAUAAAGGAUGGGCUCGGGCAUUUCAUUCAAACUUGGAAGAAGUAGCAUUGCCUUUGGAAGAAUAUGCAUCUUUACGAGAGUUCUUUGUCAGAAGAUUGAAAGAGGGUACCAGACCUAUUGAUUUGGAUCCCUGUUGUCUGAUUAGUCCAGUUGAUGGUACUGUUCUUCAAUUUGGAGAGUUGAAAGAAGCUGGGGCUAUGAUUGAGCAAGUCAAAGGAUUUUCUUAUUCUGUUUCUUCGCUUCUUGGUGCCAGCUCCCUCCUUCCCAUGAGUGUGGUUGAUGACAACACAAAUCAAGAUGGUGGGCAAGAGGGUUCUAUGGAUGAUGUGAAUCAGAAGUCCUGGUGGAGAGUUUCAUUGGCUUCUCCUAAAGUCCGAGAUCCUGCACCAGCACGUCCAAUGAAAGGUCUCUUUUACUGUGUGAUUUACUUGAGACCUGGAGAUUAUCAUCGCAUACACUCACCAGCUGAUUGGAAUGUUCUUGGCCGUCGACAUUUCUCUGGUCGUCUCUUUCCCUUGAAUGAACGAGCUACAAGGACAAUAAGAAAUUUAUAUGUGGAGAAUGAAAGGGUUGUGCUUGAAGGUAAAUGGCAAGAAGGUUUUAUGGCAGUAGCAGCCGUAGGUGCAACGAAUAUUGGUUCCAUUGAGCUUUUCAUUGAACCAACUCUGCAAACAAAUAGACCAUGGAAGAAACUGCUACAUCCAGAACCUCCUGAAGAACAGGUAUACGAACCCAGAGGCACUGGUGUUUUGCUGAAGAAAGGAGAUGAGAUAGCAGCUUUCAAUAUGGGUUCAACAGUGGUUCUGGUCUUCCAAGCUCCGAUCUUACAACUUCCUGCAGAUAAAAGCACGUCAGCAGAAUUCAAUUUUUGUAUUAAAAAGGGAGACCGGGUACGCAUGGGAGAGGCCCUGGGAAGGUGGCAUGAUCCCUAGUUACAAUAUUUCAACUACAGAAUUAAGGGUGUUCAAAGGAAACCAUCCUCCUUCUUCACCGAUCAAACCUAGCUAAGUGUAUGAAAGUUCAAUCUUCCUCGACAUUCAUUCAGUGCCCAAAAUUUGAUCUUCAACACACUGUGUCCAUUGUCUCUUCAGUUCAAACGAAACCCUCUUCCUUCUUCACCGAUCAAAACCUAGGUUUAAAGGUUGAAAUCAAGUGUUGGAGAUUGCAAUUUUGUUGGGCGUUUUGACAUUUCUAUCAUCUGUUUCUUGAAGUGACAUUAGUUUGUGUUUGCAUGUUUCAUCCUUGAAGAAGAAGGUGUAUGUUCUGGUUGUGUCACUGUCUGUUAGCAUUUUGUAACUAGGUUUUUUUUUUUUUGGAAAUUGCACUGAUAAAGUAAGGGGCUUUUGGGGUAUUUUCUUUUUGAGAUAUGGACGACUAUAUAUUGACAUAUUUUCAUCAUGGGGGUCAUGUUAUUGCAGACCCUAACCUUACUUAUAGAGGAGAAGUAGAUGUAUUUGUCGUUGUCAUUGAUAAAUAUCAUUUUAGUUUUGACGAGUUUUUUUCAUACACUAAAGACCUUGGGUACACAAAUUUGAAGGAUUUUUACUGUCAAAAUGAAAUUAACAAUGAAUUUGUCCAAGUUA
RNA transcript from Solanum dulcamara, 2096 nucleotides. It is a transcript of the gene named phosphatidylserine decarboxylase proenzyme 1, mitochondrial, with no coding region annotated. The record is from RefSeq and is a predicted model, not a curated record. The transcript has 14 exons. NCBI's taxonomy places the organism in Eukaryota, Viridiplantae, Streptophyta, Magnoliopsida, Solanales, Solanaceae.